UUAAGUUCAGCGGGUAUCCCUACCUGAUCCGAGGUCAACCAUUGAAAAAUUGGGGGUUAUGGCCAGUAUCCACCAGACGUCUAUAGCGAGAGAUUUACUACGCUCAGAGCCAGGUGGCACCGCCACUGUUUUUAAGGCACGGGCUGACGCCCGAGGCCCAAUACCAAGCAGAGCUUGAGGGUUGAAAUGACGCUCGAACA
This 200-nucleotide unclassified non-coding RNA is filed under the name embryophyte environmental sample. RNAcentral describes it as "sequence contains ITS2". The record is from RNAcentral. Lineage: Eukaryota; Viridiplantae; Streptophyta.